CCUACGGGAGGCAGCAGUGGGGAAUAUUGCACAAUGGGGGAAAGCCUGAUGCAGCGACGCCGCGUGAGUGAUGACGUCAUUCGUUAUGGAAAGCUCUAUCAGCAGGGAAGAAAAUGACUGUACCUGAGUAAGAAGCCCCGGCUAACUACGUGACAGCAGCCGCGGUAAUACGGAGGGUGCGAGCGUUAAUCGGAAUUACUGGGCGUAAGGCGCUCGUAGGAGGUAUGUCAAGUCAAGGGUGAAAUCCCCGCGCUCAACGUGGGAACUGCCGUUGAAACUGGCAAACUGGAGUGUGUGAGAGGUUAGCGGAAUUCCAGGUGUAGAAGUGAAAUCCGUAGAUAUCUGGAGGAACAUCAGUGGCGAAGGCGACUAACUGGCACAUAACUGACACUGAGGAGCGAAAGCGUGGGUAGCAAACAGGAUUAGAUACCCCUGUAGUC
RNAcentral lists this ribosomal RNA (440 nucleotides) under uncultured bacterium. Its description in RNAcentral is "partial 16S ribosomal RNA". It matches the Rfam family "Bacterial small subunit ribosomal RNA", at positions 338 to 795 of the family's 1533-position model. The record is from RNAcentral.